This 505-nucleotide ribosomal RNA is filed under the name uncultured bacterium. Its description in RNAcentral is "partial 16S ribosomal RNA". It matches the Rfam family "Bacterial small subunit ribosomal RNA", at positions 29 to 523 of the family's 1533-position model. The record is from RNAcentral.
AGUGAACGCUGAAGUAGGCCUAACACAUGCAAGUCGAACGGCAGCACAGGAGAGCUUGCUCUCUGGGAGGCGAGUGGAGAAAAAGUACAGAAACACACAGCAUCUACUUUUUCGUGGGGGAUAACGUAGGACACCUUCACAUACUACCGCAUCCAACAUCAGGGAGCAAAAAGGGGAUCUACGGACCUUGCGCGCUUGAAUGAGCAGCUGUCGGAUUAGCUAGUUGGCGGGGUAAAGGCCCACCAAGGCGACGAUCCGUAGCUGGUCUGAGAGGAUGAUCAGCCACACUGGAACUGAGACACGGUCCAGACUCCUACGGGAGGCAGCAGCCGGGAAUAUUGGACAAUGGGCGCAAGCCUGAGCCAGCCAUACCGCGUGGGUGAAGAAGGACUUCGGGUUGUAAAGCCCUUUUGUUGGGAAAGAAAUCCAGCUGGUUAAUACCCGGUUGGGAUGACGGUACCCAAAGAAUAAGCACCGGCUAACUUCGUGCCAGCCGCCGCGGCAA